UGACGUUGGAUCUUCAGCACUGAUCCAGCGAUUUAGAGCUCUCCAGGACAGCUCCAUUAUGACAAAACAGUACUGCAAACUGGGGCAAGCUGCGAGAGAGCAAUGCCAGGAGGAAUAGAAACUGACCAGAACAUAACACAACCAGAGCAGACAGCUAUGUGAAGAGCAAAUUAAAUGAAUACUCCAUGCCAGAGGAAUAUUGGAGACCCGAGAUGGAGUACAACAGGACACAGUGCGAGCUGUGAUUUCUUCAAGAGGGUUACAAACAUGAUCCCUCAAAGUGCAAGAUUCUUACUGAUUCUCAGUCUUACUUUGUUCAGCAGCCCACAUGCUGCAUACCUGACUGGAGAUGGAGGAGACCAAGCAUGGACACAGACAAGCCCUGUUAAAGAGCACAAAGAGGUCCAUCCUGCUGGCAGCUUACUGUGGAGCAGGCAGACAUCAAGAGCCAAUACGGACACCACUACUCCAUCAAUAACUACUCCACCAAAAACACAAAACUCUUGGCCACCUACUCAUGGUGAGACUGGCCAUUCAUCACUAACCACCUUAUUAGCAACACUGGGGUCAUCUCCCAAUCCAGCCUCCCAGGCCCAGAGCAAGGUAUUCAAAGCACCAGCAUAUACAACGUCUCCUGACCAAAGGAGACGUGAAAUGAGGCUUGGCGAUAUCUGGGUAAUGGGGGAGCCCAAAGCUACUGCUCAAAGAUCAGAUGACACAGGUUUGAAACAAAAGCAAACAGACCUAUUGACUACUCUACAGGAUGAUAGAAGAAUGGUAGAGGAGUUCACCAGGAGGCCACCUCACCUUGGUACCAAUUCCCCUAGAGACAUUUUGAAACUAGACUCUAUGCCCAAUCGGACAAGUCCUGGCUUGGACAAAGUGCAUGAAGUUCCAUAUGAGAAAAAAGAUAGUCGGAGUUCCUUAAAAGAGGAGACAUCCAGACCGACUCCAGGAUUGCGAGCACGCACUCUUAUUCCAG
Molecule: long non-coding RNA, 982 nt
Organism: Ictalurus punctatus (channel catfish)
Lineage: Eukaryota; Metazoa; Chordata; Actinopteri; Siluriformes; Ictaluridae
Source: Ensembl